Long non-coding RNA from Dendroctonus ponderosae (mountain pine beetle), 110 nucleotides. RefSeq lists it as uncharacterized. Lineage: Eukaryota; Metazoa; Arthropoda; Insecta; Coleoptera; Curculionidae. The transcript is spliced from 2 exons. The record is from RefSeq and is a predicted model, not a curated record.
GCUGCAGCAGCUGCGGCUGCAGCUGCCGUCCACCAUCCAUCUCAACUCAGGCCGAAAGAUCCGUCACUAUUGCACCUUAGAGGAGGCCCAGGCCCUCCGCCUUCGGUACA